AAGGUAGGGUGUUGACUUUGUACCCUCUUCAGGAGAUGGUGGUAAAGACUUGCUGUGCUGAGCGUUUGCUGAAGAUGACCUUGGAGGAGAGACGGAAAGAGUAUUUAAGGGAUUAUGUUCCAUUGAAAGAUAUUCCAACAUGGAUAGAAGACCUAAAAAGCAAGAAUGAAAGUGAUGGUGGCUGAAAAACAAAGUGUGCAGGCUGUGGUGCUUUAUGAAAGUCCAGGAACAACAGAAGAUUGGAUUUGAAGUCUCUGUUGAAAAUAGCAUUUCUUACUCAUGGUCCUACUUGCUUUCUUGGGCUGAGGAACAUCAGCAUGUCCUGGAUAACUCCUCUUCUCAUUGUGUGCAGCAUUAUCGUCUGGGUUCGGAUCACCAGUAAACUUGUCCACAUACACGUUUUUGCCCAUCUUUCAUUAAGUAUCUGACUUACCUUAAAAAAAGGACUAUGUGGUUUAGGCAGUUGUGAAUGUAACUUUAAGACUGCCUCGUUCUUGUUCUCCUUCAUCUCCAUAUGUAUGGAAGAGGAGGGACUCCUUGAUCUGAUCUCCUCCUGCUUUUUCUUUCUAUGUCUUGUUAUCCUACAAAGCUUAUUCUUGGAAUGUUACUACCAGGACUGAAGUGUCCUCUGCUGCCAGUCUUCCUACUCCUGCAGAUACAGGACUAGUUUUUCAACCCUUUUGUUAUCAUUAAGAGCGAAUACUGGCUCAGAUGAACAAGUGCGUGGAGCAGUCUUGUAACUGAAGGAGAACAUGGUCUUUCUGGUAAUAUUCCACAACGAGAUGUAGCCUGGAACUAAUCACCUGUUUUUGACGAAAUGGGAAGGCUGUAACAAACUUUCUUCAGUGCAGUCUGGACAAGCUAAUAGACUUGCAGGUGCCAGUUUCAUAGACAUGUAAUGCUAUCAUCUAUUCCUAAAAGCAUCUUGAAUGAUUUUUGAAGCGAAAAUCGAUAUCGAAAGAUGCUGAGCUCUUCAGCUCUGUUUGAGAGAAAUAGUUGUAUUACAACAGUAGCUGUAGACCAUUGCAGUAGCUCUUUUGUAUCUUACACAUCAAGAAGCUUGUCCACCUAGAAAACAAAGGCUGCAUAAAAAUGCAUCAAAAGAUUACCUGACUUUUCAUUUAGGAUGUCUUUGAUGCAUGGGACUAUUCGGUCUGUCUGUCCUUCCUAUCCUAAACUAUGUUUUUCUUUCUGACUACUGUAGAGUUCUGGGUAACUUGCUAAAUUUCACAGAUCUGAUUCUGCUUGAGCUGUUUAAUGUGACAAGGUGUAGAUUUACAUUGUGGUUGUUGUUAUACCUUUCAUAAGUAAAAAGUCAGGGUCUAAUAUGUAGGUACAGAAUCAUGCCAGUGGUGAAUUUAAUUUAUUGUGCAUUCUCUUGCAUUCUUGCUGUUAGUACCUAGUACCCUGCAGAAAUGCUGGAAGGCAGAAGCUGAGCUGAAACACUUUUCUUUCUUCUUUUUUUUUCUUCUCUGCUACUUAAAGCUUUUGUUGUACUGUUUAUUCAGGAGAAAAUAUCCAUAGUCGCUUGUUUUCUUUUAUACAUUUCUUCAAAAUAAGCCGUGUGGAACAGUGAACAUGUAGAAGAUCAGACUGAAGUACUUCCACAUUUCAACUGAUCAGCGCAAUUAAAAGAAGUUUGUAUAUUAAUGUGACUGCAUCUGCUUCAAACUUCAUUUCCCUUAAACGUUGACUUCAUUCUGAAGGUAUCAAGAGCAUGUAAGAGCUGUCCUUCUGAACUGAAAUACUGAAAAAUUAGAGUUGAGGUCUACUUGCUGAGGAGAACUUCUGCUUUAUCUACUGGGACAUAUAAAGGACAACCAGUACAGUCUAAAGAAGACUGUGGAGGGGGCAAAUGAAGCCUUUAUGAUGAAGUCUUUGGUGGCUUGAAAAUGUCAUGGCCAAGUUCUGCUAUUUUCUUCUAGUGAAAGGCUACUUCUUGCACUGACAAACUAGGCAGCCUGAAGAGGAAGUGUGUGUGGGGGGGGAAGAUUAGUACACUUGACAAGCCAAGAAAGCAACUGAUGAGGAAUGGGGAGAAGUUCUCUACCAUUUACUCCUAACACUGUGUAUACUGUGAAUAAAUGACAGAUUGAUUAGCAAAGUGUUCAGAAAGAGUGAUGAGGAGAAUUCAAGGAAGGAACUAAGAACAAAUACACUGAAAUAGGUGUGAUCAACCACCUGCUGGAGUAAGAGGUUCUAGGAGAAGGGGAGAGCAUCUGGUGCCAAAAGACAGAGUAAACUAACUGGGAAUGUUGUUCAGUACAGAUUUUUGGACUGACUUUUUUUCUGACUAAAAGUCAAAAAUCAUUGGAUGAACAGUACAAAAGUUCUAUGCUACCAGUUUUUCCAUGUGAAUGACUUAGUGGAGUGUGCUAGGAGAUUCCAGUUAGGCAUACCUUUUUAUUAUCUGGAAGUUCAACAGAUGAAUAUUGAGAAGUUUUUGUGUGGAACUGCUGAAACAGAAAUAGUUUCUAAUUGUAAUGAUAGAAAGGAACUAACCUGACUGCUAGAGUGGCUUUUAUGUGUUUUUUAUUGAGAAGUUUGUAGAACAACCUUAGUUUGCGGAGGAGAGCAUUUAGCUACCACACCCUUUGGCAUGAAAUGGCAUUCAGAAUUAAAUUGUGAAGACUACUAGUGAAGCCUGGUGUAAAGCUGAUCUUAAAGUAAAUUUUGGCAAGGCUGGAAACCUUUAUAAUUGAGG
Molecule: non-coding RNA, 2704 nt
Organism: Struthio camelus australis
Lineage: Eukaryota; Metazoa; Chordata; Aves; Struthioniformes; Struthionidae
Source: RefSeq, a predicted model, not a curated record